UACGUAGGGGGCAAGCGUUGUCCGGAAUCAUUGGGCGUAAAGAGCGUGUAGGCGGCCCGGUAAGUCCGCUGUGAAAGUCCAGGGCUCAACCCUGGGAUGCCGGUGGAUACUGUCGGGCUCGAGUCCGGAAGAGGAGUGUGGAAUUCCUGGUGUAGCGGUGAAAUGCGCAGAUAUCAGGAGGAACACCGGUGGUGUAGACGGCUCUCUGGACAGUAACUGACGCUGAGACACGAAAGCGUGGGUAGCAAACAGG
RNAcentral lists this ribosomal RNA (253 nucleotides) under uncultured bacterium. RNAcentral describes it as "partial 16S ribosomal RNA". It matches the Rfam family "Bacterial small subunit ribosomal RNA", at positions 524 to 776 of the family's 1533-position model. The record is from RNAcentral.